CGAGGGGCUCUAAAAGAUCUGCUAACUCUUUAACCCGGAACUAACAUCCACCCCC
RNAcentral lists this transfer RNA (55 nucleotides) under Boaedon fuliginosus (brown house snake). Its description in RNAcentral is "tRNA-Ser". The record is from RNAcentral. Lineage: Eukaryota; Metazoa; Chordata; Lepidosauria; Squamata; Lamprophiidae.